UGGGGAAUAUUGCACAAUGGAGGAAACUCUGAUGCAGCGACGCCGCGUGAGCGAUGAAGUAUUUCGGUAUGUAAAGCUCUAUCAGCAGGGAAGAUAAUGACGGUACCUGAGUAAGAAGCUCCGGCUAAAUACGUGCCAGCAGCCGCGGUAAUACGUAUGGAGCAAGCGUUAUCCGGAUUUACUGGGUGUAAAGGGAGUGUAGGCGGCAAGGCAAGUCAGAUGUGAAAUGUAUGGGCUCAACCCAUGAACUGCAUUUGAAACUGUUUUGCUUGAGUGAAGUAGAGGCAGGCGGAAUUCCCUGUGUAGCGGUGAAAUGCGUAGAGAUAGGGAGGAACACCAGUGGCGAAGGCGGCCUGCUGGGGCU
Molecule: ribosomal RNA, 364 nt
Filed under: uncultured Lachnospiraceae bacterium
Lineage: Bacteria; Bacillati; Bacillota; Clostridia; Lachnospirales; Lachnospiraceae
Description: bacterial SSU rRNA
Rfam family: Bacterial small subunit ribosomal RNA
Source: RNAcentral